GAUGAACGCUGGCGGCGUGCCUAAUACAUGCAAGUCGAGCGAACGGACGAGAAGCUUGCUUUUCUGAUGUUAGCGGCGGACGGGUGAGUAACACGUGGAUAACCUACCUAUAAGACUGGGAUAACUUCGGGAAACCGGAGCUAAUACCGGAUAAUAUUUUGAACCGCAUGGUUCAAAAGUGAAAGACGGUCUUGCUGUCACUUAUAGAUGGAUCCGCGCUGCAUUAGCUAGUUGGUAAGGUAACGGCUUACCAAGGCAACGAUGCAUAGCCGACCUGAGAGGGUGAUCGGCCACACUGGAACGUAGACACGGUCCAGACGCCUACGGGAGGCAGCAGUAGGGAAUCUUCCGCAAUGGGCGAAAGCCUGACGGAGCAACGCCGCGUGAGUGAUGAAGGUCUUCGGAUCGUAAAACUCUGUUAUUAGGGAAGAACAUAUGUGUAAGUAACUGUGCACAUCUUGACGGUACCUAAUCAGAAAGCCACGGCUAACUACGUG
Molecule: ribosomal RNA, 497 nt
Filed under: uncultured bacterium
Lineage: Bacteria
Description: partial 16S ribosomal RNA
Rfam family: Bacterial small subunit ribosomal RNA
Source: RNAcentral